UGUGUUCCGAAGACAAAAAAGCUUUUACGGGUUUGGAGUAAGUAAUUAAUGUCAAAAUUUUCAUUUUGCUGUGGAGUAACCCUUUAAAAUGUUUAAUUUUAAUUAAUAAAAAAACAUAUUUUCUGUUCAUUCAUUAUUUACAUAUAGCCUGUAAUUAAUAUUGUUUCAUGACAAAUAAUCACUGUAUCCAAACUAUCAGUCAUUACCGCCAUGUCAGCCAUUUGAAAUACUUGUUUUUAUUUAAAUAUGAUGCUAAUACAAAGUGACCUAGGAGUACAUCUCUGCCAGGGCAGCAGAGAAACAGUUUGGAGUGAUCAGAAAUGUUAUUAAUUUUAAGAUAUUUUAAAUGUUAUCAAUGAAUCAAACAGACAACAAAAGGGCCAGAUCAAUGAAUGGACCAGAUGGCCAGUCAUUGUUUAACGAAUGUUCGUCUGCACAUUCAUCCAAAUUCUUUUCCAAGCUAAUAAUGAAGAUGAAUGUUUUUAUCUUUUUUUUUAUGUGCAAAUCCAUGUCCAGGACAUUGACUAACUGUCAGUGGAAUGUGGGAUUUACUGGCUGAAUUUAUGAUGUUUUCCUAAGGAUGCCUGUUUGACUAAAACUAAAACAACACAGACAUUUUUGACACACCAUACUCAGACAUUUGAAACAUUUAGUAUAAACAUUUUCAGCAUAUUUAAUUAACCAAAUCACUUCACACUAGGAAGUAAAGGUCAUCUCAGAUUUGGUUCUGAAUGCUUCCUGUUUGUUUCACCGGAAUGCCCAGAUUCCACCCAUCUCAGUUUUUUGAGAAUCCAGAAUAGCAAGGUUGCAAAACGCACAAUGUCUGAAUAGUUUGCAGAUGUGUCAGUCUGAUAUCAUUCUGAAUGGACAUACACAUGCAAAACAAGUGUAGUUACUUGAAUCCUACAGACAGUAUGUCAAUAGAAGCUUGUAUGUUGUGCUUAUUCAACACUCUCUCUAUGGCGGCAGCUGAAGCAUGUGAAAAGGGAAGUGGAAUUAUCUCGGAGGCGCAGCCUGAGGCUCAAGGCUCAGGUGGAUAAACUGGAACAGCAGAAUGAUAGCGGACCCGGCUGGAGUGAAAACAGACAACGGGUGGCAGAGGAGAUUCAGUCUGUUGUAAAGCUGCUACUCCCUCUGACAGACUUAGAGUCAACAGAAGCUGAUCAGCCAUCCCGGGCUAACCCUUUAGAUAAGACACUGCUUCAACUGCAGAAAGUGGCCCGGAGUCUCGCCAUUAACACCUCUCAGGUGAGCUUUAGCCACGCCCAUCAACUCAUAUGGGACACGCCUCCUUUUUUGAAUUUCCUCAUCUCUCCAUUCUAUUGUAAGGCCUUGCGUAACCAUUUCAUGCUCCUAUUAUUCUUAGAAGUUAUUUUUAAGUGCCCAUAUUAUGCUCAUUUACAUGUUCAUAAUUUCAUUUUUGAGGUCUGCUAGAAUAUAACGCCAUGAAAUUAAGUUCAAAAACAUGAUAUUUUUCUCACUAUACAUCUCUUUGCCUUAAACACUUUGUUUAAGUCCAAGUCUCUUUUAUUUCUUAAAGCCCACCUUUCCAAGAGCCCAGUUUGCUUUAUUGGUCAGCUGGCUUAGUCUGUUGUUUAUUGGUCAAAAGCUUAUUUAAUAGCAGAACUACAAACAGUCAUUUUAGAACAUUUUUUAUUUAUUUUUUUCUGUUGGUGAUAUUAACUCCCACUGUUGUGGACUUUGUAAUUUUACUGAUCGUUUACACGCAAAAACUACUAUAUUACACAUUAUAGGUAUAAUAAAAAAAAGGCAUAAUAGGUGCCUUUAAAACA
This is a long non-coding RNA of Cyprinus carpio (common carp), 1793 nucleotides long. The record is from Ensembl. Lineage: Eukaryota; Metazoa; Chordata; Actinopteri; Cypriniformes; Cyprinidae.